CCUACGGGUGGCAGCAGUGGGGAAUAUUGGACAAUGGGCGCAAGCCUGAUCCAGCCAUGCCGCGUGAGUGAUGAAGGCCCUAGGGUUGUAAAGCUCUUUCACCGGAGAAGAUAAUGACGGUAUCCGGAGAAGAAGCCCCGGCUAACUUCGUGCCAGCAGCCGCGGUAAUACGAAGGGGGCUAGCGUUGUUCGGAAUUACUGGGCGUAAAGCGCACGUAGGCGGAUCGAUCAGUCAGGGGUGAAAUCCCAGGGCUCAACCCUGGAACUGCCUUUGAUACUGUCGAUCUGGAGUAUGGAAGAGGUGAGUGGAAUUCCGAGUGUAGAGGUGAAAUUCGUAGAUAUUCGGAGGAACACCAGUGGCGAAGGCGGCUCACUGGUCCAUUACUGACGCUGAGGUGCGAAAGCGUGGGGAGCAAACAGGAUUAGAUACCCUUGUAGUC
RNAcentral lists this ribosomal RNA (440 nucleotides) under uncultured bacterium. Its description in RNAcentral is "bacterial SSU rRNA". It matches the Rfam family "Bacterial small subunit ribosomal RNA", at positions 338 to 795 of the family's 1533-position model. The record is from RNAcentral.